Long non-coding RNA from Carassius gibelio (silver crucian carp), 1101 nucleotides. RefSeq lists it as uncharacterized. The transcript is spliced from 4 exons. NCBI's taxonomy places the organism in Eukaryota, Metazoa, Chordata, Actinopteri, Cypriniformes, Cyprinidae. The record is from RefSeq and is a predicted model, not a curated record.
UGGGAAAUAUACAAAAAAAUUAAUCAAGCAUGUUAAAAUAAUUAUAUAUAUAUAUAUAUAUAUAUGCCAUCAGUUUAAGAACAAUAAAAUAAAAUAAAUAAUUUACUUAGCAAAUGGUGAUAAUGUUUGUUAAUGAAAGAGAGUACGGGACAAAAGAACAUUUAAACCUUAAACUAGCAGGGCACGUCACUUUCUGAGUGAAGUGCGCGACGUGCGCGUGCCCGUCAUUUUGUAACGGUCAACUUCCAGCGGACGGACACGGAGGAAAGGGCCUGACAACCACCAGUUGAGUCCAUGAUUCAGGGAAGAGACAGUCUGGGCAGCAGCAACAAGACAACUAUUACAAGUAGAGAUGGGUUUCAAGAACUGACACAACCACACAUCCUCCAAAUCAUCUCUGCGUGGAUGGCAGCAAGGAUCCAGGAUCAAGAGAUCAUUCUUCAUGGAGACUGUUCCACAGGAAGCAGUUUCUCCUGGGUGAAAAACUAAACCUGGUUGUUUCAGCAUCACUCAGGCAAGACUAAAUACUUUUAAAUUGAUUUCAGUUGGUUAUGUGUUUCAGGUCAUCCUGACCAUUCUGCUGUUCUGGAUGUAAGGCCGUACUGGAACUACAUUUCUCGUUGUUGAAAGAUUUGUGCAGCGGUAUCCAGACAUAUAACGCCCCAUCACACGGGGCGUCAACGCCUCUCGUUUACUUUUAAAUGAAGUGACGUCAAGCAUGGUGAAAUUAAUUCUAGAAAUUAAUUCUAAAUAGAAGUUGAAGACUUCUCAAGCGCCAAUGCAGCCCUCCUCCAGUCAGAACAUCUUAUGCAAAUACCCAAGCGCAGACGCAAGCCAAUCGAGUGCAUGCAAUACCCGAAAACUAAUGUGAUUGGCUGUCACUAUGAGAAGAGACAGUAAUUCUGAUCCGAUAUCAGUGUCGUUUUUUGCAAAAAAAUGUUUAAAUCAAUGUAGAAUUUUCUAUACUUCUGUGUAGGGAUGUCAAUUUUCAAUCAUUUCCAUGAUCGAUCGUCGUUUAAAUUAACAAUCAAAUAAUCGAUUAAUCGUUAACCUUAAUGCUGCAAAGUCUAUUGCAGUAACACCCAGUCACUGGUAUGACAG